This 70-nucleotide transfer RNA is filed under the name Bavayia geitaina. RNAcentral describes it as "tRNA-Tyr". It matches the Rfam family "tRNA". Rfam says of the family: Transfer RNA (tRNA) molecules are approximately 80 nucleotides in length. The record is from RNAcentral. Lineage: Eukaryota; Metazoa; Chordata; Lepidosauria; Squamata; Diplodactylidae.
GGUAGAGUGGCCGAGUAUUUAGGUGGCAGGCUGUAGUCCUGUUUACAUGGGCUAAAUCCUGUUUCUAUCA